UGGGGAAUAUUGGACAAUGGGCGAGAGCCUGAACCAGCCAUGCCGCGUGCAGGAAGACGGCCUUCUGGGUUGUAAACUGCUUUUAUACAGGAAUAAAAGGGCUCUGCGGGGCGGAUUGCAUGUACUGUAUGAAUAAGCACCGGCUAACUCUGUGCCAGCAGCCGCGGUAAUACAGAGGGUGCAAACGUUGCUCGGAAUGACUGGGCGUAAAGCGCGCGCAGGUGGCCCGUUAAGUUGGCUGUGAAAUCCCCUGGCUCAACCAGGGAAGUGCAGUCGAUACUGGCGGGCUCGAGUCCCGGAGAGGGUGGUAGAAUUCCCAGUGUAGAGGUGAAAUUCGUAGAUAUUGGGAGGAAUACCGGUGGCGAAGGCGACCGCCUGGACGGGUACUGACACUGAGGCGCGAAAGCGUGGGGAGCAAACAGGAUUAGAUACCCGGGUAGUCC
This 443-nucleotide ribosomal RNA is filed under the name uncultured prokaryote. Its description in RNAcentral is "partial 16S ribosomal RNA". It matches the Rfam family "Bacterial small subunit ribosomal RNA", at positions 355 to 796 of the family's 1533-position model. The record is from RNAcentral.